This 184-nucleotide unclassified non-coding RNA is filed under the name uncultured fungus. Its description in RNAcentral is "sequence contains ITS1". Lineage: Eukaryota; Fungi. The record is from RNAcentral.
UUAACUAUUUUAUAGUACUCAGACGACAUUUGAUACAGAGUUAUGGUCCUCUGGCGGGCACGAUCCAGCCGAAGCCGGUGCUUGCGCGGCCCACCAAAGCAACAAAUUGAGAUAAUCAAGGGUUAGAAGGACCGGUUUCCCGGCUUCAUUUUUAAUGAUCCUUCCGCAGGUUCACCUACGGAAA